CGCACAUUGCGCCCAUUAGUAUUCUAGUGGGCAUGCCUGUUCGAGCGUCAUUUCGACCCUUAAGCCACUGUUGCUUAGCGUUGGGAGCCUGCGUUGUGGCAGCUCCCCAAAGUUAGCUGGCGGAGCUGGGACAUGCCCUGAGCGUAGUAAAUCUUCUCGCUUCCUGUGGCUGUCCCUGCUGCGGCCAUUAAAACCCCCUAUUUUCCAAAGGUUGACCUCGGAUCAGGUAGGAAUACCCGCUGAACUUAA
This 249-nucleotide unclassified non-coding RNA is filed under the name Xylaria sp. RNAcentral describes it as "partial contains 5.8S ribosomal RNA, internal transcribed spacer 2, and large subunit ribosomal RNA". The record is from RNAcentral. Lineage: Eukaryota; Fungi; Ascomycota; Sordariomycetes; Xylariales; Xylariaceae.